This 253-nucleotide ribosomal RNA is filed under the name uncultured bacterium. RNAcentral's name for it is "partial 16S ribosomal RNA". It matches the Rfam family "Bacterial small subunit ribosomal RNA", at positions 524 to 776 of the family's 1533-position model. The record is from RNAcentral.
UACGGGGGGGGCAAGCGUUGUUCGGAAUUACUGGGCGUAAAGGGCUCGUAGGCGGCCGACUAAGUCAGACGUGAAAUCCCUCGGCUUAACCGGGGAACUGCGUCCGAUACUGGCAGGCUUGAAUCCGGGAGAGGGAUGCGGAAUUCCAGGUGUAGCGGUGAAAUGCGUAGAUAUCUGGAGGAACACCGGUGGCGAAGGCGGCAUCCUGGACCGGCAUUGACGCUGAGGCGCGAAAGCCAGGGGAGCAAACGGG